RNAcentral lists this non-coding RNA (102 nucleotides) under Bacillus sp. (in: firmicutes). RNAcentral's name for it is "Bacillus sp. Guanine sequence". It matches the Rfam family "Purine riboswitch aptamer". Rfam says of the family: Riboswitches are metabolite binding domains within certain messenger RNAs that serve as precision sensors for their corresponding targets. Allosteric rearrangement of mRNA structure is mediated by ligand binding, and this results in modulation of gene expression. RNAcentral also lists the same sequence under 1 other name. The record is from RNAcentral. Lineage: Bacteria; Bacillati; Bacillota; Bacilli; Caryophanales; Bacillaceae.
AACAUUCAAAUACGAGCCCUUCAUAUAUCCUCGAUAAUAUGGAUCGAAAGUCUCUACCGAAUCACCGUAAAUGAUUUGACUAUGAAGGCAGAUGUUUCAGUG